GACGAACGCUGGCGGCGUGCUUAACACAUGCAAGUCGAACGGAAAGGCCUUUUCGGAGGUACUCGAGUGGCGAACGGGUGAGUAACACGUGGGUGAUCUGCCCUGCACUCUGGGAUAAGCCUGGGAAACUGGGUCUAAUACCGGAUAGGACCGCACUUUAGUGUGUGUGGUGGAAAGUUUUUUCGGUGUAGGAUGAGCCCGCGGCCUAUCAGCUUGUUGGUGGGGUAAUGGCCUACCAAGGCGGCGACGGGUAGCCGGACUGAGAGGUUGGUCGGCCACAUUGGGACUGAGAUACGGCCCAGACUCCUACGGGAGGCAGCAGUGGGGAAUAUUGCACAAUGGGCGCAAGCCUGAUGCAGCGACGCCGCGUGGGGGAGGACGGCCUUCGGGUUGGAAACUCCUUUCGCCAGGGACGAAGCGUUUUGUGACGGUACCUGGAGAAGAAGCACCGGCUAACUACGUG
Molecule: ribosomal RNA, 463 nt
Filed under: uncultured bacterium
Lineage: Bacteria
Description: partial 16S ribosomal RNA
Rfam family: Bacterial small subunit ribosomal RNA
Source: RNAcentral